This 253-nucleotide ribosomal RNA is filed under the name uncultured bacterium. RNAcentral's name for it is "partial 16S ribosomal RNA". It matches the Rfam family "Bacterial small subunit ribosomal RNA", at positions 524 to 776 of the family's 1533-position model. The record is from RNAcentral.
GACGAACCGUACGAACGUUAUUCGGAAUCACUGGGCUUAAAGGGUGCGUAGGCUGCGCAGAAAGUUGGGUGUGAAAUCCCUCGGCUUAACCGAGGAACUGCGCCCAAAACUGCUGUGCUCGAGGGAGACAGAGGUGAGCGGAACUUAGGGUGGAGCGGUGAAAUGCGUUGAUAUCCUAAGGAACACCGGUGGCGAAAGCGGCUCACUGGGUCUCUUCUGACGCUGAGGCACGAAAGCUAGGGGAGCGAACGGG